RNAcentral lists this transfer RNA (71 nucleotides) under Bos taurus (domestic cattle). It matches the Rfam family "tRNA". Rfam says of the family: Transfer RNA (tRNA) molecules are approximately 80 nucleotides in length. RNAcentral also lists the same sequence under 3 other names. Lineage: Eukaryota; Metazoa; Chordata; Mammalia; Artiodactyla; Bovidae. The record is from Rfam by way of RNAcentral.
UCCCUGGUGGCUCAGUGGUAAAGCAUUUGCCUGCAGUGCAGGAGACAUAGGUUUGAUCCCUGGGUGGGGAA